This 107-nucleotide small nuclear RNA is filed under the name Salvator merianae (Argentine black and white tegu). Lineage: Eukaryota; Metazoa; Chordata; Lepidosauria; Squamata; Teiidae. The record is from RNAcentral.
GUGUUCACUUCGUCAGCACAUAUACUAAAAUUGGAAUGAUACAGAGAAGAUUAGCGUGGGCCCUGUGCAAGGAUGACAUGCAAAUUUGUGAAGUGUUCCAUUAUGUA